This 443-nucleotide ribosomal RNA is filed under the name uncultured bacterium. Its description in RNAcentral is "partial 16S ribosomal RNA". It matches the Rfam family "Bacterial small subunit ribosomal RNA", at positions 338 to 795 of the family's 1533-position model. The record is from RNAcentral.
CCUACGGGUGGCAGCAGUGGGGGAUAUUGGACAAUGGGGGAAACCCUGAUCCAGCGACGCCGCGUGAGUGAAGAAGUAUUUCGGUAUGUAAAGCUCUAUCAGCAGGGAAGAAAGAAAUGACGGUACCUGAGUAAGCAGCCCCGGCUAACUACGUGCCAGCAGACGCGGUAAUACGUAGGGGGCAAGCGUUAUCCGGAAUUACUGGGUGUAAAGGGAGCGUAGACGGUACUGCAAGUCUGGAGUGAAAGGCGGGGGCUCAACCCCCGGACUGCUCUGGAAACUGGGUAACUGGAGUGCAGGAGGGGCAGGCGGAAUUCCUAGUGUAGCGGUGAAAUGCGUAGAUAUUAGGAGGAACACCAGUGGCGAAGGCGGCCUGCUGGACUGUAACUGACGUUGAGGCUCGAAAGCGUGGGGAGCAAACAGGAUUAGAUACCCGUGUAGUC